Molecule: unclassified non-coding RNA, 339 nt
Filed under: soil metagenome
Description: partial contains 5.8S ribosomal RNA, internal transcribed spacer 2, and large subunit ribosomal RNA
Rfam family: 5.8S ribosomal RNA (bases 1-120)
Source: RNAcentral
GAUGAAGAACGUAGUGAAAUGCGAUAAGUAGUGUGAAUUGCAGAAUUCAGUGAAUCAUCGAAUCUUUGAACGCACAUUGCGCCCCUUGGUAUUCCAUGGGGCAUGCCUGUUCGAGCGUCAUUUGAACCCUCAAGCUCUGCUUGGUGUUGGGUGUUUGUCCCGCCAUUGCGCGUGGACUCGCCUUAAAGCAAUUGGCAGCCAUGUAAUCCGGCUUUGAGCGCAGCACAUUGCGUACUCUCUACUGGGACAUGGGCAUCCAGAAGCCUUAUUUUUUUUUACUCUUGACCUCGGAUCAGGUAGGGAUACCCGCUGAACUUAAGCAUAUCAAUAAGCGGAGGA